This 380-nucleotide ribosomal RNA is filed under the name Wickerhamomyces sp. RNAcentral describes it as "partial small subunit ribosomal RNA". It matches the Rfam family "Eukaryotic small subunit ribosomal RNA", at positions 582 to 975 of the family's 1831-position model. The record is from RNAcentral. Lineage: Eukaryota; Fungi; Ascomycota; Saccharomycetes; Phaffomycetales; Wickerhamomycetaceae.
AUUCCAGCCCCAAUAGCGUAUAUUAAAGUUGUUGCAGUUAAAAAGCUCGUAGUUGAACUUUGGGCUUGGUCAGCCGGUCCGCUUUUUUGCGCGUACUGGUCCUGACCGAGCCUUUCCUUCUGGCUAACCUGUCUCUCGGGGCAGGCGAACCAGGACUUUUACUUUGAAAAAAUUAGAGUGUUCAAAGCAGGCCUUUGCUCGAAUAUAUUAGCAUGGAACAAUAGAAUAGGACGUUUGGUUCUUUUUUGUUGGUUUCUAGGACCAUCGUAAUGAUUAAUAGGGACGGUCGGGGGCAUCAGUAUUCAAUUGUCAGAGGUGAAAUUCUUGGAUUUAUUGAAGACUAACUACUGCGAAAGCAUUUGCCAAGGACGUUUUCAUUA